GCCGCGCUUAGCUCAGUUGGCUAGAGCACCUGACUGUAGAUCAGGGGGUCCCCGGUUCAAGUCCGACCUUCUCUCGACA
Molecule: transfer RNA, 79 nt
Filed under: Methanobacteriota archaeon
Lineage: Archaea; Methanobacteriati; Methanobacteriota
Description: Euryarchaeota archaeon tRNA-Tyr
Rfam family: tRNA (bases 9-67)
About the family: Transfer RNA (tRNA) molecules are approximately 80 nucleotides in length. Their secondary structure includes four short double-helical elements and three loops (D, anti-codon, and T loops).
Source: RNAcentral